This 695-nucleotide long non-coding RNA is filed under the name Pan troglodytes (chimpanzee). RNAcentral's name for it is "long non-coding RNA NONPTRT017794". The record is from RNAcentral. Lineage: Eukaryota; Metazoa; Chordata; Mammalia; Primates; Hominidae.
GCCUACUGGGUUUUGGACGUUCAUGUAUCCUCCUUACCCUGUAGGAAUUCUAGUGACUAUGUUGCCACCAUCUUGGAGCUCCAUGCCCUCAUAGUGUAAUGGCAUCAGCAGAUCUGCCUGUGCACAGACUUCCUGUACUACCUCACUCCUGAGGGGAGAUGCUUCUGCAGGGCCUGCGACCUGGUGCUCAACUUUAGACACCAUCAUUCUGGAGCGGCACUGCACCCUCACUAGCCAGGGUGUUGACGUCCUCAAGGCCAAGGCCACAUUCAAGACUUUGGACUUCAUUGAUGCACUUGUGCCGAGCAAGCUUAUCUGAUCUUCUGGGAUCUCUACUAGGAUGCUGGCAGCCCAGCCAGCUGGUCUGGCCCUGGACGUGCCUUCAGGGGCUGGGUAUGCUUCAUGACCUGUGUUUUGAUCCUGGUUGGAGUAAAACAUUCCAUGGGAACUCGGGCUGUGAGAAACGUCCUAACCACCUGACUGCAGAAACAUCCUUAUCACAUCCUGCUGGGCAAAGGCCCAACAGCCUGACUUCAGGAACAUCCUUAUCAUCAUCUACUGAGCAGCAAGCUAUACUGUCCAGAGCCCUCCCUCCCAGCCCCAUGAUUACCCCAGCCUGUAAGUGGCAGUGGGCGCUGACACUAAGCUGGUUUCCCCCUCCGCAGGGUUUUGCUAGUAAUAAACCUGUGUUGCUG